This 743-nucleotide unclassified non-coding RNA is filed under the name Homo sapiens (human). The record is from RNAcentral. Lineage: Eukaryota; Metazoa; Chordata; Mammalia; Primates; Hominidae.
GCGCUUUGCCCGUCAGCGCUUGGAGCUUUCUGCGUCGCUUCCCGCUGCGCCUGCGCGGUCCCGCCUCGCCCCACGCGCGGGCUCGCGCUUCGGUUUCCCCAGACCUGCUCGCAGCACCCUGCUGUCUUCCCGGUCCGGCCCGCUGCCCGCGGCGCCAGCACCAUGCAUCUGUGGAACCCUCCAUUCUGUGGAUCAGUAUCUCAACAUCAAACUAACUGACAUCAGUGUCACAGACCCUGAGAAAUACCCUCACAUGUUAUCAGUGAAGAACUGCUUCAUUCGGGGCUCAGUGGUCCGAUACGUGCAGCUGCCAGCAGAUGAGGUCGACACACAGUUGCUACAGGAUGCGGCAAGGAAGGAAGCCCUGCAGCAGAAACAGUGAUGGCUCCUCCUCCUCUUCCCCUCCCUCUUUCAUUGGUGACCCAUAACCCCAAGUCCCAGCCCAGAACCCCUAACCCCCAAUACUUGAAGGGGUUUUGUUUUUUUACUAAUGAUGGUUUUGUGGGUUUUUUUUAAGGGAUGAGUGGAUGAGAGGAGUAAUAGGGAACAGCUAUCCUCUCUUGAGAAGGGGAGGAUAAGUAGGCUGGGAAACUUCAAAGCCUUCCCAGUCCCCAGCACCUGCCUUUCUCACUACUUCUCUGGAGAUGGUAGGAGAGUUUCCUAGGUCUUUCCAGGGCAGCAUGUGAUUCAUUUGGGGAUGGAAGGAAUCUGUCCCGCAUCGGGAAUAAAAUUUAUGAUGCAAA